GUUAUGAACAGAAUGUGUUAAAUCUCCCACUGUGACUGUGGAUUUGUCAAUUUUUUUGAAGUCCUGGUUGGCUGUGGCUUUGCUCCACAUCAUUUUCUCUCUCUGGGAUCCAGGCUGAAGGAGUGGCCUCAAUGCAGCUUUCAGCCUUGUGGCAGAGGAAAAACAGAAUAUGAUGAAGCGAAUUCUGGGUUUUCAAGCUUCUGCUCAGAAGUGACACAUAUUGACCUGCCAUAUUAUUGGCCAAAGCAAGACUAGUUUCCAAAGAGGCAGAACUGUUUAGAAAACAGUUCUUACCAGAGCGCUCUCCACGUACGAGGCAGCUGAUUCCAUUUCCAGAGUUCUGAGGCUGGAAGUACGGACCACUGAACUCAUACAGAACUGCGAACAGGAGCAAAGGAGCAAAGGUGUGUAUUUUUUUACCCCUUACGUCAAUACCUACCUCCACACAGGCCUCUCGUCCUGGGGGCUGCG
This is a non-coding RNA of Manis javanica (Malayan pangolin), 471 nucleotides long. Lineage: Eukaryota; Metazoa; Chordata; Mammalia; Pholidota; Manidae. The record is from RefSeq and is a predicted model, not a curated record.